This 4998-nucleotide long non-coding RNA is filed under the name Equus caballus (horse). RNAcentral's name for it is "lncRNA (ENSECAG00000053690.1)". The record is from RNAcentral. Lineage: Eukaryota; Metazoa; Chordata; Mammalia; Perissodactyla; Equidae.
GAACACAGAAUGGGCUCCAACACCCAUCUCCCAGGCAUUCUCUGCAUUGAUGCUGGUAACGUGUUGACUCCAUCAUUACCGGGACAGUCACAAUGCUGAUUACUGGCAGCUGGGGAUGGAGCAGCUCGUCUCAGACUGUGUAACCUAUUGUUUCUAAAGAGCUUCCAGCUGCAGAAGCCUCCAAGCUCUUGGGCCAGCUGUGGAUUCUUUGCUGAGAUGGAGGUGUAACCGAGGAAGGGGCCUGAGAAGUAAGAAGGACGGAAAAUGAAAGCAAAGAGUUUGGAUGACCCGGGCCAUACACAGUGGCCAUGGAGCAGGAGACCAUCUUCCCUGAGGGAUGAGCCGAGGACUUGGCACUCCCCUGACCAUAAAUGGCUUGGCCAGGGCCCUCUUGGAGCCACCUCUUGCCCUGUCACCCUUGCUCUCCCAGCUGGAUGUUACUACAAAUGCGAGACACAAGCCAAUAACGCUAGCUAGAAAGGAGCUUGCCGAGGGCAGUGUUUGCAGAAGGUUCUCGGGAGGCUGUCGGAAAUGAGUUUUUCACUGAACUUUACACUGCCAGCCAACACGACUUCCUCCCCGGUUGUUACAGAUGGGAAAGGAGCAGUACGUAUAUCACUUAAAUGAUGGAGCCUCAGUUUGGUCAUUUAUAAAAUGGACAUAAUAAUGCUCUACUGUCUGGUGCAUUCGUUUUGAGGAUUAGAUAGCAUUUGAUAUAUGAACUGUCACCAAGCACAGAAUCUGGCUCAACUAUUAUUCUUAGGACCAACUCAGCUCAAAAGUGAGGGAUAAUGUGCAAAAUCACAGAUGGAUUUCACAAAUUGCUGAGCAAAAGAGGCUAGAAUCAGAAGAGUACAUACUUUCCAUUUGCAUCUAGAUGACAUUGAAAAACAGGACUGUGGGCCCUCUCUCGGAUUAGCAGCAGGCAUCCCAUCCCUGGUGGCCACAGCCCUGCUGGUGGCUUUGCUAUUUACUCUGAUUCACCGAAGAAGAAGCAGCAAUGAGUCUGCCGAGGAAAGUGAGAGGCCAUGUGAAAUUUCAGAAAUCUAUGACAGUCCCAGGAUAGCUGAGAAUCCUAGGAGGGCACCCACACACGGGAAGAAUAUGAUGGGAUCUGAAGAAUCUCACAUAUAUGUGAAGACUGUAGCAGGAAGCGAGGAGCCCAUGCAUGACACUUACCGUCCUACUGAAGAAAUGGAGAGAAGAAGGGGAUUGUGGUGGCUUAUGCCCAGACUGAGCUUGGAAUGAUGUGGCUCAGCCAAAGAGCAGAUCUGGUGCUGGAACAGAGCUGAAAACCCAGGGAUUUAUGCUUGAGUGAGGAGAGAUGCCAAACUGCUUCUUAACCAAUCUCAAUUUCAUUGACAGAUCUGGAAAACUUUUGGGUUGAUUUGUCUCUUUAGGGAACAGAUCUGCAAAGGUUCAUUCCAACUCUCAGAUCUUGUGGUUUAAUAAGCAGUAAAGCACAAAGUGUGGUCACUGUGCAUCCAGAAGGAGCCUUUGGAUCCUGUUCCUGACCCCAGUGGGAAUUCGCUUUUCUUUGUGAUUUUGGGAAAGGGACUUGAUUUCUGAGUGUCUUGCCUUCUCAUCUUUUUUCACAUCCUUUUCCUCAAAAAAGUCAUCAGACCUGGAUUCCAUGGGAGAGUUGACCAAGGCCAACAUGGGGUACAAAUUGGGACAUAAAUGAAGCUUACAGGGAAUGUGCAAGGGGAAGCAGUUCCUUGUUUCUGAACAUCUCAGGGUAGAAAUCAUGUGGAACCACACAGUCCCUGACCACAGGUGCAGCAUGUGACUGGAUCAUUCAUUGCUCCACCUGGGUCUGUGAUCAGAGAGUAUUCAAGGAAGGCAAUUCUGCAAUGAACUGUGUGUGUGUUGAGGGUCAGUAGGGUAGAAGGAAGGCAGAGGUUUCGAAAGAUUAUUAGAAAUGAUGGCUAUAUCCAUUUUGUGGGAUUAGAGAGAAAGGUCCAAGUCCUUGGACUAUCAUGGGGAAAAACUCACCGGCAGGAAGAGAGAUCAAGAGGACUCUGAGUGGAUGAACACAGGACCAAAGGGGUGGGACAGGUAGUAAUGUGCCUGCCACCUGAGGGAAGCCCGUGGACAGCGUCAGCCAGCUGGAGGCAGGCCUUCACCAUUGCUUCUGUGAGGAAUCCUCCAGGAAUCCUGGUUCCUCCACAUAGGGCCAUUGCUCAUGAGUAGGCUGGGUUUCCUGGUGGGAGAACCUGGGUUCAGGACCUCUUGGGGUUCAUCCACCAGCUCCAUGCACCACCAUGAUAAGCUGUAGAAACAUUCCUUUCUCACACAGGACCUCUGAUUGCUCAGAAACACACCCCCUCUUCUUCAAAUAACCAAGAAUAGGUUCUACAAACUCAAUCACUGCCAUGUGCCAACACCUGAUUUUCAAAACCCCUUGUGAAAUUCAAUUUUGCGCUAAGUCCCCUAGGUCCAGUCACCUUGACAAGCAAAUGUGGCCAUUUUUAAGCAGAUGUGCCCAGUGAUCCAGGUGCUUGUACUUCUCUUACAUGUUGGGAAGGACCUUGAAUUUGCUGAGAACUUGACUGUGGCCUUGGUCUUGACACUUAUAAGUUCAAGCCCUGGGGCAAAUUGUUGACCCGCAGAAGCUUCGAUUCUUCCCUUACGAAAUGGAGAUAGCAGUUCUCAUCCUUCCACCCCCAGGGUGGUUGUGAGGAUUGAAACACGCAUGUGAAUAAAGCUUGUAGUCUAUAAGGUAAUGUGUGACUUGUAUUUUGGAUCAUUUAUUUUUAUUCCACUUAUAAUUCAUUGCUCAGAGUCUUUAUUUCAAAUUGUUUCUACUAAAAUAGCAAGAUUCAGUAUUCCUGUCAUUUUUUUUCCUGCUAUGAUGUGCAAGAACUUAUUUUGGAAUAAAGUGAAAAGUAAAAUGGUCAUUUUUAUAGACAUACAACACAUCUGUGGUUUCUCUUGGCCUAUAUUAAAGUCUAUGACAUUGGCCCUGGGGUUGGAAUCAAGGUUAUCCCGGGGAUUUUUCUGGUGCUGGCUCUCUCUGGGGCUGAUGAGGGAGGUGUUCAUUUCUUCAUUUAGGGCAGCCUGUGUUGUGGGAAACUACAGGGACCAGAAGUCAGAAGCUGUAGCUCUCUGACCCAGGGCUGGUACGAGCUUAGGGAUGACUCUGGGCCAGUCGCAUUUUAUCUCCUUUCUUCAUGUACCACUUGGUGUUUGGGUUGGCUUGUCUCUAAGGUUAACUCCACCCAGUUCAAACAUUCUAACUUUGAUUUUCCAAAUUCUGCAAAGUAGGGCCUCCCCUUCCGCCUCCCUGCUCACCGCUCCCGUCAGCACAGCCUUCUGGACCUUGCAAAGUCCUUCUCAGCUCUUGGCUUUGGAGGUGGAGAGAGAGACUUAUUUCUCCUGUAUCCUGCCAAUAGACAACAGUUUCACAUAGCUUUCCUUGUGGCAUUUAUCACUGCAAAAGCGUAAUGCCAAUUAAAGACAAAAAACAUGAAGAAUGACUAAUGUUUGAAGCAUUGUCUAUUUAUACGAUCUUGCACUCCCACCAUCCUGGUGGAAAUUAUUGAUUAAUGCAUGAGUUAAUUUAACAAAUGGGCAUUGGCUUCCCUCAUGUGUCAGACCAUCUGCCGGGUCCUAUGAUAAGAUUGGAGACAUAAUGAAGAGGCUAAAGGCAACUGGGCUUUCCAGGAAAUGUCUCUCUACCAAAUGAACAUGGAGUCUCCUAUCCACUCAAGGAAACACUAUUAGGAAAGCUUUCAUAGAGGUGCUUUCCUUCUAGACUCAAAGACACAAAACAGACUCUUUCUUCCUUCUGGGCUCAAAUGAAAGAAGAAUCUACACUCUCUUUUCUUCGUUUUCCUUUACCUGAAGUUGUAGAAGGAGAGAUGGGCCUGACCCUUCCUGCCGCAGGGCACUCCGAAUGACUGAAGACCGAAAAGCCUGGUUAUGUCAGGGAAUACCUCAAAAUGCUGUGCCUACAAGAGAAACUCAGAGAAGGCUCUCUCUCCUCCACUCUGUAAUGAGGCUACCUCAACUCCAAUAAGUCAAGAGGUGUCAAAAAUACCAAAAUUGGGCAUGUGAGAGUGGGGAAGAAUUUGUAAGAUGGCUGAGUCUGUCCCAUAGGCUAUAGGAAGAAUUUGAAAACUGAUGGCGGCCUUUGAAGGACAGGCCACGUGUAACUUGGGGCUUAAAACUGAUUUGUAAUGACGGUGAAUCCAGUUCUCACAGAGUUAUGUUUGUAAGACUAAAAUGGGUUGAAAGAUUUGGCUGUGAGCGAGAACAAACCAUGAUCAAAUAAUUCUACUGGAAAUACAACUGAUUCUGUGACAAGGAAUCAGACAGUGAUUAUUUUUUCCAUUUUAUUUAUUUUCUUUUUUUCAUUUUAAUUUUUGUUUUUAUAGUAGUAACAUUGGAUAACAUUAUGUAACUUUCAGAUGUACAUCAUAAUAUAUUUCAAAUUCUGUGUAGAUUAUAUCACGUUCACCCCGCAAAGACUAAUUAUAAUCCAUCACCACACAUUCGCCUAAUCACCCCUUUCACCCUCCUCCCUACCCGUUUCCCCUCUGGCAACCAUCAGUCCAAUCUCUGUUGCUAUGUGUUUGUUGUUGUUUUAUCUUCUACUUAUGAAUGAGAUCAUAUGGCACUUGACUUUCUCCCUCUGACUUAUUUCACUUAGCAUAAUUCCCUCAAGGUCUACCCAUGUUGUCACAAAUGGCUGGAUUUCAUCCUUUCUUAUGGCUGAGUAGUAUUCCAUUGUGCACGUAUACCACAUCUUAUUUAUCCAUUUGUCCCUUGAUGGGCACCUAGGUUGCUUCCAAGUCUUGGCUAUUGUGAACAAUGCUGUGACAAACAUAGGGGUGCAUGUAUCUUUAUGCAUUUGUGCUUUCAAGUUCUUUGGAUAAAUACUAGGCAGUGGACUAGCUGGAUCAUAUGGUAGAUCUAUUCUUAAUUUUCUGAGGAGACUCCAUCCUGUUUUCCAUAGUGGCUGCACCAGUUAAAAUGUCCGUACUUCCUAAAGCA